AAGAAAAAGAGGGAGACGGAGAGAGAGAGAGAGAGAGAGGGCAAGGGAGACGGAGAGAGAUAGAAGGAGUCGAGCGAGAAGAAAGGCGAAAGAGAUGGAUGCAAGUAAGAUGGAGAGGUAUUAUCUUCCUCCUCUAAUAACUCAGAGUAAAUAAUGGUUUAGAUGGUUUAGAUGUGGUUUAGAAAGGAGUAAGAUGUUGUUAAUCGGGUCUACUUUUUGAUAAAUUAAGAGUUUUAUGUUCUUAAUUAGGUCAUAGGUUUGUUUAAUUAUGAGUUGGUAAUUUAGGGAUUUUGUUUGUUUGUUAAUUUAGGUGUUUUAUUUGUUUGUUUAUUAAUUUAGGGGUGUUGUUUGUUUGUUAAUAUACCAAAAUGAAUCUUGAUUUGAAUUUUUGGAGAUGAUCUCGAGGGAAGUUCAGUUUCCUGAUUUUAUAUAUUCAUAGCCAUUGGAUUUCAUUUACUGCAUUGCUUAAGUUAGUGUUUCUGUGGUGAUUCACAUUUGGGCAAAGGUUCUGUAGUUAUUUAGAGCUCAUGAAAUGGAAUCUUGAUCUUUUUUUCGAAGAGAAUCUUGAGGAAGUUUGAGCUGCUUAAAGCGUGCACUUAGCAACUGCAAUACAUUUCUUGAGUUAUUGGACUUGGAAAUCUAAUUCCGUAGUUAUCUACUUAUAUUGCGAUCGUGUUCAUAAGGCUGAGAUCUAGCUAAACACAGUUCUGCUCUAGAUUACAAAGUUGGUUUCCUCUAAUUAGAUUGUUUUUUUAAUAUAUGUGACAGUUCAAGUUGUAAUCUGAUAUAUUGGUGAUGUUAUUAUGCCCAGAUGGCCAGAUCUAACUGCGAUUAGAUCUUUAAAUUUCAGGAAUUUGAAGAUUCUAUGGAGAAGACCAUGAUGUUCAUUGUCUGUAGCACGCUGGUGCUUCUAUGUUCUACAUCAGCAUAUGCACAAAAGGGUGAAUCUCCUCCAUCUUACUCCUUGCAUAAGUAUGCCAUAAAGGUACUUGAAUUAUAAUGAUUGGCAUAACAUAUUUCCUCCCCAAAAAAGUGUAGUGUGUCUGAGUAUUUUCAAUAUUCAUCAAUGCGCACAGUGCACACUGGAAUUAUACAUGGCACAUAUCUUCUGUUACUUGGGCACCAAAACUGCAACAUAUUCCAAAACUUUUUGAAACUGUUCUUCAUUUGGAACUUCUUUCUGGUUUAUUAUGUUGAAUUUUUUUAAUUUGGUGUUGCUCUAAAAGUGUCUGCUGCAAUAGAUAAACUACAGAGCAACAAAAGGAAGUGCCUGGGGCUCUCUCAUUGUUUCAAUUGUUCUAGCAAUCUUAUUGGAUCAACACUUUUGACGAUCAUCUAACUAAAAGCAGCUACAUAUUUAUUGCAAGAUAACAGAUUACAUACAUAAAGAAUUCAUGCAUAUUAGAACUAAGCAUGACCAAUCACAAAUUUAGUAACAGAAGAUUAAGACCUUUUCUUCGAAGAAUUAACCGGCCAAAAAACAAAAAUAAGAUAAUUUGAUCUCACUUACAAAGGGACUUCUUGCAAGAGAAAAGACCAAGUAAUAUUACUGAUCUUCGACUUAUUUGUAGAAUUUUAUAGUGAAAAAUCAUUAGUUUCCUGAUAUCCUCGGAUUUAUCUUUUGUGUCUUCAGCUUAGAAUAUCUUGUAGUAAUCAGCAAAUAUGUACAUACUUUGUAUUCUUGUAUCAAGUAUAUAUAAAGGACUCUUUCCCUAUCAAUAUAACAUACAUCAGGCAUAUCAUUCUGAUUUACAGGAGAGCUAGGAAAAUGAGCUGGUGGUGGUCUAGUGUCGCUGUUGCUGCAAGGGUAUUCUUCUGUAUCGAUUACACUAAUCUAUUCAUCAUCUAUGUUCAUGUAUAGGUCAGUCAUGAGUUUUUUAAUCAUUUAUUUAUUAAAAAAACUCUCAAUCAAUAAAAUGUUCCGUCGAACUAUGGGAGUGUGGCCCUGGUUGUGGGCAUCACAGGCAUCGUUGGCAACAAUCUGGCCUUGUCUUUAGUCUAAUGCACAGUGGUCCUCUCCUAUAUCCUUUAUGAAUAUCUUUAGUCUGGCCUUGUUUCGCUUGGAUCUUAUUUAUCUAUUUUAAGUUUUUUCAGGCUAAAAGAAUGAAUUACUUGCAUACAAGCAAUCUUUUGAUUGUACAUUGAGACCUGAAAACUCUGAAUCUCCUUGUUGAUAAGAACUGAGUUGUUAAGUUUAGAUUGGUAUUGGGCCUAUUGGCCUUUAAGUCCUCACACACACACACACACAUAUUACAAACUAAUUCCAUUUUUUCUUUGCUUGAAGAACUAAGAAUUUAUUUUAUUUCUUGCUGAAAUGUAAUUAUAAUUUUUAAUGUCUACAGGUUUGUGAUUUUGGGAUGUCAUGGUUUGUAGGUAUCUUACUGGUGUCAUACUUAUUUCCUUCUAUUACUGCAGUUCAUGUAUUGUUGAUGGAAGCUCUAGGUUUUCUGAUAUGGAGGAAGGUGAUUACUCUGGAAAUAUUUUAUGCUUAUAGUUGUUGGGCUACUGGUGUACUAGGAGUCCAUGAUUAAAAGAUUACCGGACAGCCUAUAAGUUCUAUUAAGUAGAAAUUGACUAAAGAUUACAGGGCAGUCUCCAUGAUUAACAAUUUAUAAGAAUAUAUAUCCAAGUCUAAUGGGAAACAUACAAAAAAGAAAAGUGCAAGUCCAGAUACAAGUGUUUUCCCUUCGGUCAUCAUUUGUAGUGUAUAUAUAGCCAUGCAAUACAGCUUUAUAUAUUGUAAUGUAAAAUUAGAAUUAGCUAAGUUGUCCUCUGGAACAAGUGUUUAAUAUAGUUGAUAGAGUUUUAUUUAUUUAUUUAUUUAUUUUUAUUAUUCUAAUGGAUAUAUGACAUGAUUAUAUACUUGUUGGUGUAGGAUAUCAAUGGACUUGAAGAUCUCUAAUUAAAGAUUAUGAUAUGGAGGAUAAACUUAACAAAAACUGAAGACAAUCCUCGGACAUUUGGCUGAGAAGAAUUAUGUGCCGGUGGUCAGAAUUAACAUGAGUCGAAUGCCAAUAGCAAUGCAGCUUCAUAUUCAUGAUUAGUUGUACUUAGUUGUACUGUGAUCUAGAUUUGGCCCAUUUUUUGAUGUCAAAAAUUUGAUGUACUUCAUCUAUUUUGGCCUAUUUCCAUUUCUAAACUCGAAAUUGUUUUUUUAUUUAGUAACUAUGGUACUCAUCUUGGUUGUGGUUGUCUAGGAAUGAUCAUAGUUGUGGUUGGUAAUAGCGUUAGUACUGUUUUUGGGAUUUGUUGGUGUUGAACUUUUAAUGGUGGAUUAAUAUAU
RNAcentral lists this long non-coding RNA (3283 nucleotides) under Daucus carota (carrot). Its description in RNAcentral is "long non-coding RNA (DCAR_LNC003370)". The record is from RNAcentral. Lineage: Eukaryota; Viridiplantae; Streptophyta; Magnoliopsida; Apiales; Apiaceae.